AGAGUUCGGAGGGAGCUCACAGGUUCCCAAAGCAGUCACACACUAAAGGGGUAGAACCUAGACUUCUAAGAGUAUGAAAGAGUACUUGAUAUAGUUUUAAAGGAAUUGAGUUGAAAAAAACAGCUUGAAAAUGAUCCAUCGAGAAUCAGUUCUUGAAAGAAAACAAUAUAAGAGUUUAACAGUUUUAGAAGAAGGUGAGUAG
RNAcentral lists this long non-coding RNA (202 nucleotides) under Nicotiana benthamiana. Its description in RNAcentral is "long non-coding RNA (NBEN_LNC017311)". The record is from RNAcentral. Lineage: Eukaryota; Viridiplantae; Streptophyta; Magnoliopsida; Solanales; Solanaceae.